Molecule: non-coding RNA, 978 nt
Filed under: Monodelphis domestica (gray short-tailed opossum)
Lineage: Eukaryota; Metazoa; Chordata; Mammalia; Didelphimorphia; Didelphidae
Source: Rfam by way of RNAcentral
UGAACAAAAGGUUUGGUCCUAGCCUUAUUGUUAAUUUUAAUUAGACCUACACAUGCAAGUCUCAACUGCCCUGUGAGAAUGCCCUCAAAACUAUUGAUCAAAAGAUAAGAGGAGCUGGUAUCAGGUACCCUAAUAGUAGCGAAUUACACCUUGCUCAACCACACCUCCAUGGGAAACAGCAGUAAUUAAAAUUAAGGUAUAAACGAAAGUUUGACUAAAUCAUAAUUAUUAAGGGUUGGUAAAUUUCGUGCCAUCCACCCCGGUCAUAGGAUUAACCCAAAUUAACAAACCUCUGGCAUAAAGCAUGUUUAAGCAAAACAUUAAAAUAAAGUUAAUACUUAACUAAAGUCUAAUACACUCUAGUUAAUACUAAAAUAAAUAAUUAAAAUAAUUUUAAUAAAGCUGAUACACGACAACUAAGACACAAACUGGGAUUAGAUACCCCACUAUGCUUAGUCAUAAACCCAAAUAAUUAAACAACAAAAUUAUUCACCAGAGAACUACUAGCUAUUGCUUAAAACUCAAAGGACUUGGCGGUGCCCUAAACCCACCUAGAGGAGCCUGUUCUAUAAUCGAUAAAUCCUGAUAGACCCAACCCUAUCUUGCCAACACAGCCUAUAUACCACCAUCAUCAGCCCACCUUAAAAAAGAUAAACAGUAAGCAAAACUAUUUUUCCAUAAAAACGUUAGGUCAAGGUGUAGCACAUAAAAGGGAAAGAAAUGGGCUACAUUCUCUAAUUUAGAGAAUAACGAAUCACAUUAUGAAAUUAAAGUGCUUGAAGGAGUAUUUAGUAGUAAAUUAAGAAUAGAGUGCUUAGUUGAAUUAGGAAAUAGGCGGGCACACACUACCUGUCACCCUCCUCACCGUCACCCUCCUCAAUUUAAUGAACUUAUAUAAUUAAUAAAUCAUUUAAACAAAGAGGAGAAAAGUCAUAACAUGGUAAGUAUACUGGAAAGUGCACUUGGAAUAUCAAAAUG